Long non-coding RNA from Symsagittifera roscoffensis, 540 nucleotides. RefSeq lists it as uncharacterized. Lineage: Eukaryota; Metazoa; Xenacoelomorpha; Acoela; Convolutidae. The transcript is spliced from 3 exons. The record is from RefSeq and is a predicted model, not a curated record.
UAGAAUGUUGUAAAUUCAUUCAGAAAAUUAUUUUAGUAAUCAAGCAGAACCUAGAAUAUCUUUCACUAAAAUUUCAGUCAUUGUUAUUUUUUUCUGCUUAAAAAGUUCUUAGUUUGCCAAUUCUUCAUUCCUAGUUACAAAAAUGGAUAAACUUUUCUACGUGUCUGCAGUGAUGCUUCUAAUUGCAACUCUUUCAACCAGACCAGCCGAGUCCAGUGAAGAGGGAUUGGAACCUUACGAUAAGAGGAGUAGGCUGGGAGUGGGGCGUGUCACUUGGGGAUGGCAUAAGAGAGGGUAUUCGGAGGGGGAGGAGGCACCUAUGGAGGAGGAGGGCAAGAGGGGGCGACUGAGUCACGGCUACUGGGGCAAUGGCGGCAAAAGAAGAAUUUAAAGUUGUUUUAGACUCAACUCAGAUUAGGAAAAACCAGACGUGCUGAAAAUUGGCAAAAACAACAAACUCCUGAAAUUAUGCAUAAUGUGAUAACCUUUUUUCUAAUUUACAAUUAACCAUUCUAAUUAAUUUUUUUAUCAAUUUUUUCA